GGGACGUUAGCUCAGUUGGUAGAGCAGCGGACUUUUAAUCCGUUGGUCACUGGUUCGAAUCCAGUACGUCCUA
Molecule: transfer RNA, 73 nt
Organism: Variovorax paradoxus
Lineage: Bacteria; Pseudomonadati; Pseudomonadota; Betaproteobacteria; Burkholderiales; Comamonadaceae
Rfam family: tRNA
About the family: Transfer RNA (tRNA) molecules are approximately 80 nucleotides in length. Their secondary structure includes four short double-helical elements and three loops (D, anti-codon, and T loops).
Source: Rfam